Molecule: long non-coding RNA, 1676 nt
Organism: Gasterosteus aculeatus aculeatus (three-spined stickleback)
Lineage: Eukaryota; Metazoa; Chordata; Actinopteri; Perciformes; Gasterosteidae
Source: Ensembl
AAGUUAAAAAACUAAUUACAUGUAUUGUUUUUUGGGUAUUGUGUAUUUUGUAUCAAAUUACAAUUUUAUGUAUUUUUGCUAGGGCUGUCAACAUAAACGCAUGAAUCUAUGCGAUUUAAUGUGGCCUAAUUAAUGAAACAUAAUACUUCAACGUAGUUAACGAAACGGCCGCUAGCUGGAGUCAGUUACACCAAGAUGGACAAAGCUUUUUGCAUUGGAAGUAAAAUAAAACAGAGGCACGACAUACAGUGGAGAACUGUCCAGAUGACUUACUCCACGUGUCAAACGGUGUGGCAUACGGACAAUUUAAGGAACUGCUAUGCUAAGCUCGCUGCUAGGCUAAGCUAGCGGCAACGCUACUUCCAUCUCAACAUCAAAUGUUACCCUGCGCGGCACAGUCUGCAGAGGACCACCACUGUGUCCCUAAAAGACUGGUUUGAAAACAUUCUGGCUGGAGAGUUGAGAGCAAAGUGCACAAGGACAACAGGAAGAGUUGCUAGUUCAACAUGUUUCACCUGGUGGAAUUGUCACGGUUUGGGUUUAUUUCCUGUUUUACUUUAGUUCUGUGCCUCCUGUGUCCCUGGGGUAACUUCACUUCCUGCCUUGUCCUGUCAUCCCCUGUGAUUGAUUGUUUACACCUGUGUCCAAUCACUUGCACCUUCCCAGUGCAUUUAAGCCAUUGUGCGAUUAGUUAAUUUUUAAUCUAUUGACGGCCCUAAUUUUUAGGAGAAAACCCCACACCAGCUGCAUGGGGGAAUGACUUCAAUCGUCUCAUACGCUGAGCCAGAACACUUUUUGGGGAUUUUUUUUUACUUGGCGUUUCUUUCGCCGUGUGCAGCUAUGUUCAGCAUGGCCAUGGAUGGCUGUGUUCUUGGAACAACAAUUGAAAGGAUAAAGAAUUGUCUUUGUUUAAAGUAAAAAUAAAUUUGCUUUGUUCAUUGCUGCUGCGUUUUCUAACUCACUAAAACUACUAUAACUGUGUAUAUAUAUACAUAAAAUGUACAUAAUAUAAAUAGUAUACAUGGUUUAAAAACUAAAGGAGCAUAACCUAAAAAUAACCUUAAAUAUUUAUUAGGUAUUCUUUGUGUGUGAGGGUUGCUUGGGCAUUUUAAAUGAUUGACUCACUGACUACUAUGUCAAAACAAUAGUUCUUAUUAAAACAAGAUUUAAAACAGUCCUUUAUGACAAUUUUCUAUGUGCAAUAUUUAAUUCCCAUAGUGUCAUAACCAAUCCUAACAUUACCUUGAGCAAUUAAUCUAUUCUACACCUGGUCGGCAGUGGAAAAUUAAUGGAGAAACAGCUGUUAUGCAGGUCUGUGCAGCUGAAAAAUACAAAAUUGGUAUUGUUAUGGACAAGCAGCUUUCCCUCAUCAGGAGUGAGGGCAAUAAUAUAGAGCACUGGUCUCAAACUCAAUUCAGGUGCGGGCCAGAUGCAGCCCCCUUCGACUGAAUGCAGGCCACAACCGGCGAACGGUACGGUCUCGUAUUAUUUUGUCAAACAGCCUAUGUUUAAAAAUAACCCCCAUGUAAACUAACUUUAGUAAGCAGGGAAAAGAAGGAUAAUAAAGCCAUAGUCACACAUGUCAUUAGAGUCACUUUUAUUUAAUCCACAUGGAAAACAUUGUUAUCAGUGUCCUUUCGACUUAUUCUUCCUUAGCACUUGGCCGGCUGUCAUGG